Pelobates cultripes (western spadefoot toad) is the source of this 1464-nucleotide non-coding RNA. NCBI's taxonomy places the organism in Eukaryota, Metazoa, Chordata, Amphibia, Anura, Pelobatidae. The record is from the annotation of a GenBank genome assembly.
UUUGUAUUUUAUUGUACCCUAUUGUAACAAUGCAAUGUUUUGUGGAGCCAGGACAUACUUGGAAACCAGAGAAAUCUCAAUGUGUCCAUCCUGGUAAAAUAUUUUAUAAAUAAAUAAAUGUACAUGUAUUUCAGGUAUCGUGCACACUUAUAUAUUUGUUAUGUUACUCAUUUUGAAACCUAUAUGUUACGUACAAUGCUUGUUUGUCCGUUAAUUGGUUUAAUAAAUUAACAAGGAAACAUAAGUUACAUUUGCUUGUACAAGUAGUCUAGUCAGGAGAGGUGUCUGUUGUGUUCAUGCGGUUCAAAUGCUAACAAUGUAGUAUUAUUGUGUGUUAGAAACAUUUUCAGAUACUUUUCCAGUACUUGAAGUGUUGCAAACUCUGCUUGGGCAGGAUUGGGACAGAUACAGUCCAUUUUUCACAGUGGAGUUGCGAUCACUUGUACGUCAUUAACUUUUCAUCUGCAGUCGUUAAUAUGUUGAUAUUAGACACAACAUUAAAACCACUGACAGGUGAAGUGAAUAACAUUGACUAUAUCAUUACAAUGGCACCUGUCAAAAGGUGAGAUGUAUUAGGUAGCAAGUGAACAGUCAGUACUUGCAUUUCAUGUGUUAGAAGCAGUAACAAUGGCAAGCAAAAUUACCCGAGUUACUUUGACAAGAGCCAUUUACAGUAGUGAUGGCUAGAUGACGGGUUCAGAGUAUCUAAAAAACAGCAAGUCUUGUGGGGUGUUCCAGGUUUGCAGUGGAGAGUACCUACCAAAUGUGGUGCAAGGAAGGACAAUCGUCAACCCUGUGUCAGGGGUGCCCAAGCUCAGUGAUGCACGUGGGAUCUGUAUAUGUUGUACGACAUUACUUUGUUUUUAUGUUUAUAUCAUGGUAGUAACCUGGAUGUCAAAUAACUUUUUCCUAUAAUACAUUUCUUCAUAUGACACAAAAUAAAGAUAACUAAAAAAUAGCUCAUUCCUAUGCAUGAAAUCGUUUGGAAAAGAAGUCCACAAACCUGUUAAGUUUAUAUAAUGUACUUGCUCACUAAAUUAAACCAAAUUAAAAUAUUGCACUCAUAAUGGAGUGAAAGGGCAGCAGUAAUAGAUGAUGACUGCUUAAAACAGAUUCACCUGUGUAUUGGAGGUGUGCCACUGGAAAAAGACUCAUAUCUCCUUGGUAACUUUAAGACAACAAAAUAAUUUUACAAAAACCAGAGAGAGUUAACGAUUGCAGUGGACAGGGAAAUGCCAAUCACUUUUCACUGUGUAUUUUGCAAUGAAAGGGUUAAUUAAAUCUCCCCAUCACAGAGGGAUCACAAAUGUCCUUGGUGGUAUGUCACACUUGUUAUGGGUCUCCAUCUCACAUGUCACCCACAGCCCUCCAACAUGAUUCCAACACAAUGACGUGAGACCCUCAAUUGUUUUCAGUGGUUUUGUUUCUGGUGGGUGUGGCUUUCAAACAAUGGAUCCAAAUCUG